UAGAAUGAAAACAUAUUCUUAUCACUACAG
Molecule: non-coding RNA, 30 nt
Filed under: Rattus norvegicus (Norway rat)
Lineage: Eukaryota; Metazoa; Chordata; Mammalia; Rodentia; Muridae
Source: RNAcentral